This 384-nucleotide ribosomal RNA is filed under the name Zonosaurus karsteni. Its description in RNAcentral is "12S ribosomal RNA". It matches the Rfam family "Bacterial small subunit ribosomal RNA", at positions 794 to 1384 of the family's 1533-position model. The record is from RNAcentral. Lineage: Eukaryota; Metazoa; Chordata; Lepidosauria; Squamata; Gerrhosauridae.
GCCUAGCCAUAAACCUCAAUAGAUACAUACCCACUAUUCGCCUGAAUACUACAAGCAAAACGCUUGAAACUCAAAGGACUUGGCGGUGUCCCAUAUCAACCUAGAGGAGCCUGUCCUAUAAUCGAUACUCCACGUUAAACCUUACCAUCUUUGGCCACUCCAGCUUAUAUACCGCCGUCGCCAGCUUACCCUAUGAAGGCCCUACAGUAGGCAAAACCGCUCACACAAAAACGUCAGGUCAAGGUGUAGCUUAUAAAAUGGAAGAGAUGGGCUACAUUUUCUAAACUAGAAAAUACGAACAAUGUAAUGAAACCAUACAUUAGAAGGAGGAUUUAGCAGUAAAAUUAAGAGAAAGACAAUUUUAAAUUAAGCUCUGGGGCGCGC